UGGGGAAUUUUGGACAAUGGGCGCAAGCCUGAUCCAGCCAUGCCGCGUGCGGGAAGAAGGCCUUCGGGUUGUAAACCGCUUUUGUCAGGGAAGAAAUCUUCUGGGUUAAUACCUCGGGAGGAUGACGGUACCUGAAGAAUAAGCACCGGCUAACUACGUGCCAGCAGCCGCGGUAAUACGUAGGGUGCAAGCGUUAAUCGGAAUUACUGGGCGUAAAGCGUGCGCAGGCGGUUAUGCAAGACAGAUGUGAAAUCCCCGGGCUCAACCUGGGAACUGCAUUUGUGACUGCAUGGCUAGAGUGCGGCAGAGGGGGAUGGAAUUCCGCGUGUAGCAGUGAAAUGCGUAGAUAUGCGGAGGAACACCGAUGGCGAAGGCAAUCCCCUGGGCCUGCACUGACGCUCAUGCACGAAAGCGUGGGGAGCAAACAGGAUUAGAUACCCUGGUAGUCCACGCCCUAAACGAUGUCAACUGGUUGUUGGGAAGGCUCCUUCUCAGUAACGUAGCUAACGCGUGAAGUUGACCGCCUGGGGAGUACGGCCGCAAGGUUG
This 548-nucleotide ribosomal RNA is filed under the name uncultured bacterium. RNAcentral's name for it is "bacterial SSU rRNA". It matches the Rfam family "Bacterial small subunit ribosomal RNA", at positions 355 to 896 of the family's 1533-position model. The record is from RNAcentral.